This 440-nucleotide ribosomal RNA is filed under the name uncultured Rubritepida sp. RNAcentral's name for it is "bacterial SSU rRNA". It matches the Rfam family "Bacterial small subunit ribosomal RNA", at positions 338 to 795 of the family's 1533-position model. The record is from RNAcentral. Lineage: Bacteria; Pseudomonadati; Pseudomonadota; Alphaproteobacteria; Acetobacterales; Roseomonadaceae.
CCUACGGGGGGCAGCAGUGGGGAAUAUUGGACAAUGGGCGCAAGCCUGAUCCAGCAAUUCCGCGUGGGUGAAGAAGGUCUUCGGAUUGUAAAGCCCUUUCGGCAGGGACGAUGAUGACGGUACCUGCAGAAGAAGCCCCGGCUAACUUCGUGCCAGCAGCCGCGGUAAUACGAAGGGGGCUAGCGUUGCUCGGAAUUACUGGGCGUAAAGGGCGCGUAGGCGGUUUGAUCAGUCAGGCGUGAAAUUCCUGGGCUUAACCUGGGGGCUGCGCUUGAUACGGUCAGACUUGAGGAUGGAAGAGGCUCGUGGAAUUCCCAGUGUAGAGGUGAAAUUCGUAGAUAUUGGGAAGAACACCGGUGGCGAAGGCGGCGAGCUGGUCCAUUACUGACGCUGAGGCGCGACAGCGUGGGGAGCAAACAGGAUUAGAUACCCUGGUAGUC